Molecule: long non-coding RNA, 373 nt
Organism: Triticum aestivum (bread wheat)
Lineage: Eukaryota; Viridiplantae; Streptophyta; Magnoliopsida; Poales; Poaceae
Exons: 2
Source: RefSeq, a predicted model, not a curated record
CCCACGCACAAAGUUUUUUCGGCAUCUAUCUAAAGCAAUCAGCGGUGGGGCGGGAUUUUUGGAUCGGCGAUUGAGGCGAUCGAGAUGAGUUAGCCGUUCCCGGCUACCGUCGCCGGCGGGUCCGCCAUGCCGGACCUCCUUUCCCUGAGGAAGAUGGCCACGCAUGGGGAGCAAUGGGAAGGAGAAGGUGCAGUACUCGUCCUCCGACUAUUCAGUAUGAUCCUACAACAGGCCACAGCGGCCCGCUCUAGAGACCAUCCCGGACCCGGAGCAGCAUGUUUAAUAAUCCUCUAUUGAAUUCUCGCUUGUACAAUUCUAUUGGUAGAAAAGAUGUAUGGGCUUUAUCUUCUACUUCCUCCGUCCCAUAAUGUAA